Molecule: non-coding RNA, 83 nt
Organism: Ipomoea nil (Japanese morning glory)
Lineage: Eukaryota; Viridiplantae; Streptophyta; Magnoliopsida; Solanales; Convolvulaceae
Source: Rfam
GUUUUUUUAGCCAAGUGGUUAGGGCGUGUGCCUGCUAAGUACAUGUGGUUUUCCCAACGAGAGUCCAAAUCUCUCAAGCAACG